CCUGCCAGUAGUCAUAUGCUUUGUUCAAGGGCUAAGCCAUGCAUGUCUCAGCGCAAACGGUUCAACAGUGGGUCUGUGAAUGGCUCCUUACAUCAGCAGUCAUCUAUGUGAUAGAGUGUGGUUGCAGCAGCCAUGCUGCCAUUCGGACAUCCACGAAAACCUUGUGGCUAAUACACGUGUGAAGGUGUCCUCCUGGACCCUCAUGGGAUUGAGUUGGAUGCUUUGCCCAGCCCAACAGAAGGACUGCACCCAGCCGAAACAAAGACCAGUGCAGGUAACACUGCAAAGUCUUGUUGACUCAGGCUGGUCCGAAUGGACAUUGUGCUGGCUUGUUUAAGACGUGACAUGAUCACGCAAGCUUGAUCACACGAACUUCUGACCUAUCAGCUUGGACUGUGGUGUAGUGGACCACAGUGGCUUUGACGGGUAACGGAGAAUUUGGGUUCGAUUCCGGAGAGGGAGCCUGAGAGAUGGCUACCACUGCCAAGGCGGGCAGCAGGCGCGCAAAUUGCCCAAUACCAAACUGGUGAGGCAGCAACGAACUGCAGCAAUUCUGCUGUUUUUUCAGCAGGACUUGGAAUGGAUGCUAUCCAAACACAGUGAUGAGUAACAACUGGAGGGCAAGUCUGGUGCCAGCAGCUGCGGUAAUUCCAGCUCCAAGGGCGUAUACUAACAUUGCUGCUGUUAAAGCACUUGUAGUCUGCCACUGGGAUGCAGGUCUGCUGGGUGGCCUGGCAUGUGCUCCUGACCGCUUUGGCGUGAUGGUGUGUGUGCUGGGGUAAAACCCCCAGUAGAAUGUCCUGCUCCCGCAUAUUUCAUCGAUGGUGAAUUGGCUCCAGCCCAAGUCUCCUUCAGUGGGGACUCAGGCGGUGUUAUGCCACAAGCAUGUGUGGGAGCAAUGUCAGUCAAUGCAAGAGUCUGUUGAAUGGGCUGUCACCCACCACCGGAGUCCACCAUCACUGACACUAUGGAAAACUCAGUGUGCUCCAAGCGUCCUGUCUAUGGCUGGAUGCCCGUCCAUGGAAUGUCAAAGCACCGACCGAAUGGGCACUAGAGUUGUGCUGGCCUUGUGGCCCAUUGCAGGACAAUGUGGGGCUGUCCCCAGCUUCAGGGCCUUCCUCAGGGUUGGACUCCUGUUGCCUGUGGGUCAGUUUCCGACCGAAGAUGAUGGGAGUGCUCAGGGUGAAAGGUAUUGCAACGCCAGAGGUGAAAUUCUUAGACCGCUGCAAGACCAACUGCAGCGAAGGCGUUCUGCAAGGGCACGUUCGUCGAUCAAGAAUGAGAGUGUGGGGAGCGAAGAUGAUCAGACACCGUCGUAGUCCACUACUGUAAACGAUGCCAGCUCGACAUUGGUGAGGCAUUUCUUCGAACCCUAUCAGUGUCAUGCCCCCUUCAACGAGAAAUCCAAGCCAUUGGGUUCAGGGGGGAGUACUGUCGCAAGGCUGGAACUUAAAGGAAUUGACGGAAUGGCACCACAAGGCGUGGAGUAUGCGGCUUAAUUUGACUCAACACGGGGAAUGUUACCAGGUCAGGACCUUGCAGGGAUGGACAGAUUGAGAGCUCUUUCUUGAUUCUUGGGAUGGUGGUGCAUGGCCGCUCCUGAUUGGUGGAGUGAUUUGUCUGGUUGAUUCCGAUAACGAGUGAGAUAUCUGCCUACCACUAGCCCCAUUCUCGCACUUGUAGGGUGGGCUCCAGUCAGCCCUGGCUCGCCUGUGGAGGGCUGUGGUCCCCUGAGAGUUAUGGGAUUGCUUCUCUGAGGUGCUGUGUUCGCUGCCAAGAGCACGCAUGCUAGAGCCAACAGCAGGUCUGUGAUGCUCCCAGAUGUCCUGGGCCGCACGCGCACUACAUUGACUCAGUGAAGGUGUCAUGCUCCCUUGUGGCGCCCUGCCCAGAAGUGGGUGGGAAACCCUGCAAAACUGAGUCGCGCUGGGGAUAGAUGAUUGCAACUGUCUGCCUUGAACGAGGAAUGCCUAGUAUGCCUGUGUCAUCAGCACAGACCGAUUGUGUCCCUGCCAUUUGUACACACCGCCCGUCGUUGCUACCGAUGACAGCUGGAUAGAGCCAUCAGGAGGUUUUGGGGGCUACUCGUAGUCCCAGCCAAAAUUGGGCAAUGUCCAGCUGUUAGAGGAAGCAAAAGUC
This 2139-nucleotide ribosomal RNA is filed under the name Trachelomonas sp. Yeonhwaji091109F. RNAcentral's name for it is "SSU rRNA". It matches the Rfam family "Eukaryotic small subunit ribosomal RNA". Lineage: Eukaryota; Euglenozoa; Euglenophyceae; Euglenales; Euglenaceae. The record is from RNAcentral.